AAGAGUGGGAGCCGAAUGGGAUGUGAGAAAAUGGAAGAAUGAGAUAGACAAAGAAGUGAAAUGUGUGGGACUGAAUGAAUGGAAGAAUGAGAUGGAAAGAAAGAAGACCCUGGAAUGGUACAAGGAGAAAGGGGCCCCGAGGUAUGAAAGGUGGUAUGAUGGAAGCCUGGGCGGUGAUCUUCUCUUCCGAGCGAGGGCACAGUGUAUGGAUGUGAAUGCAAGGAGUUACAGGUGGUCUGAGUCCCGCAGCAAAGUGUGCCAGAUGUGUGACAUGGGAGAGGAUGAGACGGUGGAACAUGUGGUGCUGGAGUGUGUGCAGUAUGCCAGAGACAGGAAUGAGAUGAUGCAAGUGAUACUGACUGAGUUAGGGCAUGAUAGGAAUGAAAGAGUGGAGAAGACAGGAAAGGAAUGGAUGGUGUUGUUGCUGGGACUGUGUAGAGAGGCCAAUGAAAGGAUGAUUGAGGCGGUGAAAGAGUUUCUGGAGAGAAUGUGGCGUGCCAGGUGUAUGAACAAUUAGGAUAGAGGAUGCUGUUCGUUUCUCUUUUUUUUUUUUUUUCCCUUUCUACAGGAGUUGCCGAUCCAAAGGCCUGGCUCAGGAGUGAUCCUGUGCCACCUGUACCAUCAAGAUCAAGAUCAAGAGUCUGCGUACAAAAUUGCAUCGGAGGGAUUGAUAGAGGCAGCCACAAUUAUCCAUCAUCAUCGGCGACACCAUGGCUCUUGAGAAGACCUCCUCUUCUCUCUUCCCAUCUCUUCCUCCUCCUAGCCCAACCAAGCCUAAUUCUCUCUCUCUCUCUCUCUCUCUCUCUCUCUCUCUCUCUCUCUCUCUCUCUCUCUCUCUCUCUCUCUCUCUCUCUCUCUCUCUCUCUCUCUCUCAGACAGACAGACCUCGAUGACAGCGUGGUGAGCGAGGAGGGGGAGUCAACCAGCAGAGUAGGGGAGCAUGACCCCUACUUUGAACCAGUGGUGACCUUGCUGGAGGUCUUCGUGGUUAGUGAUGAUGACCAGGAGGAGGAAAUGAUAAGACUGAGUUUCGAGGUCAGGUCAGGCAGUACAAGCUGUUUCUUUAUCACACCUCUGAGUCGCCCCCACAGUGGAAGGAACGGGGCAUGGAGGCCAUUAAGAUUCUGAGGAACAAGCAGAAGAAGGCUGUGGAGUUUGUUCAGUGGCAGAAUUAAUGCCAGUGGUUGAGUUCAGAUCCUCCAAGACACACAGACACACACACAGUAGCCCCUCCACCUCCCCACAGCCCUCCACAGCCCCUGACACAGCAUCUGACACAGGCCCUUCACAGACCACCACAUACCUCACACAUACAUAAGAACAUAAGAACAUAAGAAAUAAGGGAAGCUGCAAGAAGCGACCAGGCUUACACGUGGCAGUCCCUGUAUGAAAUAUACCUACCUAUUUCCAUCUGUUAUCCCCAUCCAUAAACUUGUCUAAUCUUCUCUUAAAGCUCUCUAGUGUCCUAACACUAACAACAUGAUUACUGAGUCCGUUCCACUCAUCUACCACUCUUUUUGAGAACAAAUUUUUUCCUAUCCAUCCUAAACCCAAAUUUUUCAAGCUUGUACCCAUUAUUUCUUGUUCUACCCUGGUUGCUGAUCCCAAGAAUUUUGCCUACAUCCCCCUUGUUAUAACCCUUAUACCACUCAAAGACUUCUAUCAGGUCCCCUCUUAACCUACGUAUCUCUAAAGAAUGUAAAUUUAACAGCUUCAACCUCGCCUCGUAAGGAAUACUCCUCAUCCCCUGUAUCCUUUUAGUCAUUCUCCUCUGUACUGAUUCUAAUAGACCUAUAUCUUUCCUGUAAUGUGGGGACCAGAACUGCACAGCGUAGUCUAGAUGAGGUCUGACCAGCGCCAAAGUAUAACUUUAAUACUACUUCCGGCCUUCUACUUUUAACACUCCUAAAAAUCACACACACCACAGGAGCCUCACAAACAGUCUCACAGCCUUCACAAGCAGCCCCACACUCCACCACAGACACACCAGACCCACAGCCCUUCACCUCACCCACUUCCCAGCCCCCAACGCCCCCCAGCCACCACAAAUGAAGUGAAAGGAAGGGACUGUGGCUUCACCCAGCCAGCCAGGACAGCCUACAGAGAGGGGGUAGUCCCAGUCAAGUCACAAAAUAUAGGAUUGGUUCUUCCUACAGUUUGAAGUCAAUGAUUGGACAGGCCAGACAGCUUAGUGGCAGAGCUGCAGGUGGCCCUUGUAAGCUUCCUGGUGGCACAGAUGUAGGACGGCUGGGAGCAGUGGAGGUGCCUGAUGGGGCAGCUGUGCCGGGCAGAGGGGCUGCUACUGCUGCUGCUGCUGCUGGGGAGAGCCACACUUGUAUGCCCCACAGUUACUGACCUUGACUCAAACACCAUCACGGCACUCUCUUCCCUGUUAAACUUGCCGGGAUCCAUUGUAAUGUAAGGGGUAUUGAAUGUGAGCGAUGAAAUGAGAAGGUAGUGGUAAGGGGGAAAAAAGUACAGGGGAGCGCAGGAGAGACACCUCUCUCCACUGUGCCUGACAGCGCAGGAGAGACACCUCUCUCCACUGUGCCUGACAGUCUCUCAGUGAUUGAAAGACUGAGCAUAACAUCUUCAGGACUGAGCAUAACAUCUUCAGGGCACGUGGUAACACGGAGAGGAAGUGGAAGAAACCUUGGGACGCUCCCAUAACUCAGGAGCAAGAAAUACACCUUACUGGAAACCUUGUGACUGACAGGUGGCGGUGACUGCAGGAACCAAUUCAGAUGUCUGUCUUGUGUUGGCGAACGUCCUGUCUGCAGUCAGGCCAGUAGUGCCAUGUCGCAGGGUGUGACAUCAGGUGAAGAGCCAAAUGGAGAGUGUCUGCAGCCAGUACUGGGUGUGCUGAUGCUGUACAAGUGUCGAGCCAGGUGCCACAGCACAUGUCAGCUGACUCCACUAGUGUAGUGUCUCUAGUCCAGGAUGCACUGCUGUGUACGACUUGUAAAUAUUUGUGACUGUA
Scylla paramamosain (green mud crab) is the source of this 2980-nucleotide RNA transcript. It is a transcript of the gene named ran-specific GTPase-activating protein-like, with no coding region annotated. The transcript has 8 exons. NCBI's taxonomy places the organism in Eukaryota, Metazoa, Arthropoda, Malacostraca, Decapoda, Portunidae. The record is from RefSeq and is a predicted model, not a curated record.